CCCUUAGAUGUUCUGGGCCGCACGCGCGCUACACUGACGAAGUCAGCGAGCAUCUCCUUCGCCGAAAGGUGCGGGGAAUCUUGUGAAACUUUGUCGUGCUGGGGAUUGAUUUUUGAAAUUCUUGAUCAUCAACGAGGAAUUCCUAGUAAGCGCAAGUCAGCAGCUUGCGUUGAUUACGUCCCUGCCCUUUGUACACACCGCCCGUCGCUACUACCGAUUGAAUGGUCCGGUGAGGCUUUGGGAUCUGAGCGGAAAGAGCGUUUCGCUGUUUCUGCUCGGAAAACUCAGUCGAACCUUAUCAUUUAGAGGAAGGAGAAGUCGUAACA
This 326-nucleotide ribosomal RNA is filed under the name uncultured eukaryote. Its description in RNAcentral is "partial 18S ribosomal RNA". It matches the Rfam family "Eukaryotic small subunit ribosomal RNA", at positions 1470 to 1796 of the family's 1831-position model. The record is from RNAcentral.